UAUUUCCAGUUCUACUCUCCGGGAAUGUCUAGUAUCCCACCCACUGCUGCCUGUCCUCAAGUCUGCCUUGGAUAUAAAGGAGACGGAAAGGAAAAUAUCGUUUAGGCUGGUGCACACAGACGGGAUUUAAAGUACAGGAGAUCAAAGAGAAAGUAACAAUCCAGGACUUUCAGUAACAAUCAGGGACUGCGGAAUGAGCUGUGAAAAUCGGGACUGUCCCGUAAAAAACGGGACCUUUGAGAGACUGCGCCUGAGUGAUUCAUUGCUGCCGAUUGAGACAGAUUGCUGUUCUUCCGCUCCCUAUGUCACGAAUAUGUUGGAUCCCUCUGUGGUUCCCUCCAGGUUUUUGAUAUCUGAUCUGCCAGUUGUGAAGAGUGAAACGUUCGCUUCAUCGUUUGAUAGGCCGCGCUAAGCCGAUGGCAGAUCGUAUUUUAGCUUGUGGUUUCCUGAGCUCUGGGUAGAAACAUGUGAAGCCGUCGCUUCUCUACCGUGCAGCCUUCAAUCCUCUCCUACCUUUAUUUCCUAUAUAAAUGUAUACACUGCUUUC
Molecule: long non-coding RNA, 547 nt
Organism: Xenopus laevis (African clawed frog)
Lineage: Eukaryota; Metazoa; Chordata; Amphibia; Anura; Pipidae
Exons: 4
Source: RefSeq, a predicted model, not a curated record